GUAGCUCAGCGGUAGAAUGCAUGCCUUGCAAGCAUGAGGUCCUGGGUUCGAUUCCUCAGC
Molecule: transfer RNA, 60 nt
Filed under: Dipodomys ordii (Ord's kangaroo rat)
Lineage: Eukaryota; Metazoa; Chordata; Mammalia; Rodentia; Heteromyidae
Rfam family: tRNA
About the family: Transfer RNA (tRNA) molecules are approximately 80 nucleotides in length.
Source: Rfam by way of RNAcentral